GCCCCCAUCGUCUAGAGGCCUAGGACACUUCCCUUUCACGGAAAAAACAGGGAUUCGAAUUCCCUUGGGGGUA
Molecule: transfer RNA, 73 nt
Filed under: Monostroma nitidum
Lineage: Eukaryota; Viridiplantae; Chlorophyta; Ulvophyceae; Ulvales; Monostromataceae
Also listed under: 1 other name
Description: tRNA-Glu
Rfam family: tRNA
About the family: Transfer RNA (tRNA) molecules are approximately 80 nucleotides in length.
Source: RNAcentral